AUUGAACGCUGGCGGCAUGCUUUACACAUGCAAGUCGAACGGUAACAGGCCUUCGGGUGCUGACGAGUGGCGAACGGGUGAGUAAUGCAUCGGAACGUACCCAGAGGUGGGGGAUAACGCAGCGAAAGCUGUGCUAAUACCGCAUGUGAUCUGAGGAUGAAAGCGGGGGACCGAGCAGCAAUGUUUGGCCUCGCGCCUUUGGAGCGGCCGAUGUCGGAUUAGCUAGUUGGUGGGGUAAAGGCCUACCAAGGCGACGAUCCGUAGCUGGUCUGAGAGGACGACCAGCCACACUGGAACUGAGACACGGCCCAGACUCCUACGGGAGGCAGCAGUGGGGAAUUUUGGACAAUGGGCGCAAGCCUGAUCCAGCAAUGCCGCGUGCGGGAAGAAGGCCUUCGGGUUGUAAACCGCUUUUGGCAGGAACGAAACGGUGUCCGCUAAUACCGGGCGCUAAUGACGGUACCUGAAGAAUAAGCACCGGCUAACUACGUG
This 492-nucleotide ribosomal RNA is filed under the name uncultured bacterium. RNAcentral's name for it is "partial 16S ribosomal RNA". It matches the Rfam family "Bacterial small subunit ribosomal RNA", at positions 29 to 507 of the family's 1533-position model. The record is from RNAcentral.